GCUUGUCUCAAAGAUUAAGCCAUGCAUGUCUAAGUGUAAAUACGUCUACACUGUGAAACUGCGAAUGGCUCAUUAAAUCAGUUAUCGUUUAUUUGAUGAUCUCUUGUUACAUGGAUAACCGUAGUAAUUCUAGAGCUAAUACAUGCGUCAAGUCCCAACCGCAAGGAAGGGAUGUAUUUAUUAGAUACAAAACCAAUGGGUGGCAACACUCUCACUGGUGACUCAUAGUAACUUCACGAAUCGCAUGGCUUCGGCCGGCGAUAGUUCAUUCAAAUUUCUGCCCUAUCAGCUUUCGACGGUAGUGUAGUGGACUACCGUGGCGUUAACGGGUGACGGAGAAUUAGGGUUCGAUUCCGGAGAGGGAGCCUGAGAAACGGCUACCACAUCCAAGGAAGGCAGCAGG
This 403-nucleotide ribosomal RNA is filed under the name uncultured cercomonad. RNAcentral describes it as "partial small subunit ribosomal RNA". It matches the Rfam family "Eukaryotic small subunit ribosomal RNA", at positions 30 to 432 of the family's 1831-position model. Lineage: Eukaryota; Cercozoa; Cercomonadida; Cercomonadidae. The record is from RNAcentral.